This is a non-coding RNA of Paramarasmius palmivorus, 92 nucleotides long. Lineage: Eukaryota; Fungi; Basidiomycota; Agaricomycetes; Agaricales; Marasmiaceae. The record is from the annotation of a GenBank genome assembly.
UCCUUGGUAGUAUACUGGUCAAUACACGCGUUUAUUAUACCCGCUCGUUGAGCAGUGCGUGCCGAAGCUGGGUUCGGCUCCCAGCCAGGGAA